GCCGGGGCGUGGUGUUAUACAUGCAAGUCGAACGCGUCUCCGUUAAUGAUUUUAGGUGCUUGCACUUGAAAGAUUUAACAUUGAGACGAGUGGCGAACUGGUGAGUAACACGUGGGUAACCUGCCCUUGAAGUAGGGGAUAACACUUGGAAACAGGUGCUAAUACCGUAUAACAACCAAAACCACCUGGUUUUGGUUUAAAAGACGGCUUCGGCUGUCACUUUAGGAUGGACCCGCGGCGUAUUAGCUUGUUGGUAAGGUAACGGCUUACCAAGGCGAUGAUACGUAGCCGACCUGAGAGGGUAAUCGGCCACAUUGGGACUGAGACACGGCCCAAACUCCUACGGGAGGCAGCAGUAGGGAAUCUUCCACAAUGGACGAAAGUCUGAUGGAGCAACGCCGCGUGAGUGAUGAAGGGUUUCGGCUCGUAAAACUCUGUUGUUGGAGAAGAACAGGUGUCAGAGUAACUGUUGACAUCUUGACGGUAUCCAACCAGAAAGCCACGGCUAACUACGUGCCAGCAGCCGCGGUAAUACGUAGGUGGCAAGCGUUGUCCGGAUUUAUUGGGCGUAAAGCGAGCGCAGGCGGUUUUUUAGGUCUGAUGUGAAAGCCUUCGGCUUAACCGGAGAAGUGCAUCGGAAACCGGGAGACUUGAGUGCAGAAGAGGACAGUGGAACUCCAUGUGUAGCGGUGAAAUGCGUAGAUAUAUGGAAGAACACCAGUGGCGAAGGCGGCUGUCUGGUCUGUAACUGACGCUGAGGCUCGAAAGCAUGGGUAGCGAACAGGAUUAGAUACCCUGGUAGUCCAUGCCGUAAACGAUGAGUGCUAAGUGUUGGAGGGUUUCCGCCCUUCAGUGCUGCAGCUAACGCAUUAAGCACUCCGCCUGGGGAGUACGACCGCAAGGUUGAAACUCAAAGGAAUUGACGGGGGCCCGCACAAGCGGUGGAGCAUGUGGUUUAAUUCGAUGCUACGCGAAGAACCUUACCAGGUCUUGACAUCUUCUGCCAACCUUAGAGAUUAGGCGUUCCCUUCGGGGACAGAUGACAGGUGCUGCAUGGUUGUCGUCAGCUCGUGUCGUGAGAUGUUGGGUUAAGUCCCGCAACGAAGCGCAACCCUAUG
Molecule: ribosomal RNA, 1118 nt
Filed under: bacterium AR
Lineage: Bacteria
Description: bacterial SSU rRNA
Rfam family: Bacterial small subunit ribosomal RNA
Source: RNAcentral